Acanthosepion pharaonis is the source of this 111-nucleotide non-coding RNA. Lineage: Eukaryota; Metazoa; Mollusca; Cephalopoda; Sepiida; Sepiidae. The record is from the annotation of a GenBank genome assembly.
CACCCAUAUCCUGUUGAAACACCAGGUGUUAUAUGAUCACUGAAGUUAAGCAAUGUUGAGCCUGGUCAAUACCUAGAUGGGUGACUGCUUAGGAAUGCUAAGUGCUGUAAG